Molecule: long non-coding RNA, 2936 nt
Organism: Homo sapiens (human)
Lineage: Eukaryota; Metazoa; Chordata; Mammalia; Primates; Hominidae
Gene: ATP6V0E2-AS1
Product: ATP6V0E2 antisense RNA 1
Source: Ensembl
GGACAGAGAGAAAUGCCGAGGAAUAGGGGCGCGGCCGCCCGGUUUCGGCGAUGGGUUAUAGGGUCCGCGUCAGCCCCGCGCCCGCACAGCCAACGUCACGCCGCAUUCUUAUUUCCAAAGACCCCUGGAGCUUGGGGUCCCACCCCAGCGGUCUUUCGGGGCGUCCCCUGCCCUUCACGCGCCGCGCCGGCUCGGCCCGAAGCGCCCUGCGGACCCGCAGCCUGGGCCGCCCCGAACCUGACGGCCCCGCGGGGGUCGGACGCGGGAGGAACGGCCUCGCUUUCAGAGACGCAGCGGGAGGGCGGUCCCCGCUGUCCCUCUGGCCGGGUCCUCAGCACGCGUUCUCCUCACUCCCAGGACUAGCGAGCGGCGGGCGCGGACCGGGGCCUGGGGUCGGAGGCGGCGCAGCCAGAAAGGCCCCAGCGGCGCUGAGACGUUUGGGGGAAGGCGGGGGCUUCGCGUUUCGAUGGCGGGAAGCGGAAUGAGGUUGGACCGGCCGGGCCGGCGUUCAGGGACCCGGCGGGAGGCGGAGGGCUGGCGUCCUCGCGGACAUCCAUCUGCAGCGAACCAGGCAGAGGCUUUGGGAUUAGAUCCUUGACUCCUUGCGUCAGUAGUUAAGCUUUGUGAUGGUCUGAGGUCCAUGAAGGGAUUAAAACCAGGAACUGGCUCCUUCUCCAACCACUAAAGCCUCAUCUGGGCCCACAAGCCCUGGCUGUUCCCUGGAGCGUGACUGGAAGAUGUGAGCAGCUUUGUGCUGGAGCCCCAUUUCCAUGGGCAGAAGGAACAUAAAGUAUGCAUUUUAUGAUACGACUCAGCUUGGAGGGAUGAAGUAGAAGGUCCUCACUGCACCUCAUGGCAGGCUGCUGACGGCAGAUAUUUUACCGGGCUCACUGAACUGGGCAGUCAGGGAAGGGUCGGCUCCUGCUCUGUCCAGCUGUCUUCAUAAGGGACUCUGUGACACUUUUUAUAAAAAUGACUUUGAUUUCUGCAUAAGAAGGCUUCCCAAGCUUGCUGUCUAGCAGUGGCUGCUACAGGGAAUUAUUCACAUGGCAGCAAGAGAGCCCUGGCUCCCUGGACCAGGACAUUCCCUUUGUGUGUGUUGGAAUGAGAGCAGGAGGAGUGCUGGUCAGAAGCCCCUCCCCAGGGCUCUGGGACUUCAGUGUUCUCAGACAAACUGGGCCGCUCCUCUGAGCUGGGAUGCUGACCCACACUUGGCCCCGGCUCUGGCAUCCACAGGACGCUGCCUUAUCCGUCAUCUCGCUGGGGCUGGGGGCUAGAGGCUGAGCAGGUCACACUGAACAAAAGAAGUGUGUCCCCAUCACUAGGCUAACAUCUGAGUUUCUUCCACAGUAUUUGGUAACACAGUCAGAAACAAGACUGAAGAUGAUUCUGGAGGCAACUGGGAACCCCCCAGAACGAUUCUGCAGGCUUCUGGGAAGCUGAAAAACCCCAAGGCCAGACUGGCCUCAGAAUGCCUGAGUCCUUUUGAUUCCACUGGAAAAGCCAUCCAUCUGUGCCAAGUGUGUGGAGAGCUUCAAGAGCCAUAUAGCCCUGGCCACCAUGAGCACAGCCACGUGGGGGAGUAGUCCUGAAAGUGUCCUGGUGUGGCAAAGGCUUUCCACUAAGUGGACCUCAGAUGGCACAGGAAGACCCUCCUGGGGAUGUGGGAGGACACUGCCUAGUGGGUGAGGGGCCGCUCUUUCAGGUGUGCACACUAAAUGCAGAGACAGCCUCUCCUGGCUGCCAAGAAGCCUGUGCAUGAUCCAGGACCACAAAACACUUGCAAACUCACUGCCCAGAGGCCCUGUGCCUGUCUGGAGUGUGCCCAGUGUGUCUGCGCCCCACAGCUUGUCCUGGCCCGCCAGCAGAGCCGCAGCACUGCAGGGCCCUUCUGUUGUGAGUGCCAGGGCCCUUGCUGGCUGCCUGAGCAAGGCAAAAGGUUCAAAACAGGAAGUCUCUGGGCAGCUAUUCCCAGGUGCAGAGGGGAGCAGCGGCCACACAGGUGCCAGUGUGGCAGGAGCUGCAGUCAGAGGCAGCAUCUCAAGAGCCCUGGGAGCAGGGGCCAGCCACGUGAAGCCCACGAGUGUCGCUGGCACAGGGAAGGGACACGAGGAUCACACUGACCCAAGAGAAGGCCCACAGUGAGGAGGCCCCACCGAAGCAUCCCCAGCAACAGGGACUGAGGCAUCUGAGGCAGCCAGCCCACUCGGAAAGGCCUGCUGACUGCACUCCAGAUGUCAAGAGCACCCUUGGGAAAAAGAAAGGCAGGAGUGCAGCACUUUCUAGAGCCUCAGCUCACUUCUCUCCUUCUAGCUCCAGCCGGAGUGAUGGAAGAGGCUGCGCUGGGAGCUGCCUCCCUGGGAGCCUACCCUGCCCAGCCUGAGAGUGGAGGCUACCAGCAUCACGCUUCCCCUAGUGAAAUCCAUCUGUCCUGAAGGGAACCCUGGGACGGGGUCAAGGAAACCCUGUUCACCCCCACCACGGGGUCAGGUCUUCACCAAAGGGAGGCCGCACGGAUUCCCAGUCGCAAACCCAAAGCCUUGCUGCCUUUGCCUCUGUUUCCAUAGUUGUUUCAAUGUCUUUUUUAAAAAUCACAUACACUCGAGUAAGACUGAGUCUCCUCACCGAAGAGAUCUGGCUGUAUCCCGAGUCUCUGAAACCUUUGCUCCAGUCCCGUGGGAGCGUGCCGUCCCGAGGAUGUGGAGCCGCAAGGGCUCGCCAGAGGGAUCUCAGGAGCUAGGCCUCAAGGAGCGCUGUUGAGUGACAGGUCUGAUGCAGUAGCUUUUACUAUUGGUGGAAAUCGAUGUUUUUUCCUUGAAAGUCUACCUUUCUAAGUUCAGUAAACCAAAUUAGAUCAUGUAUGUGAAAGCACUUUGUAAACUAUGCAGUACUCCAGAAAAGGCAGCCAAGCCCUUAAUUAUAACUCACCAAACAGC